RNAcentral lists this small RNA (365 nucleotides) under Arabidopsis thaliana (thale cress). Its description in RNAcentral is "ATSL146470". The record is from RNAcentral. Lineage: Eukaryota; Viridiplantae; Streptophyta; Magnoliopsida; Brassicales; Brassicaceae.
AAACCUUUGAAUUGGAAGCUGUAAGAGACGAUGAAGCUGGAGACUCCUUGCCAUUACCACUAGGAAUCGACUUCCUCUUUCUAGAGUUAGAUUUCGUGGUGUGAACUCGAUCCGAAACUGAAUCUGGAUCCAACAAAGAGCUCUUGUUACUCUCCUGCGUUGUUGGUUGUGACCCAAAUUCACGAUCGGAUCCAAAUUGACCUGGAUAUGGAGGGAAUCUGAUUCCACCAGAGAUUGGGAAAUUCUCGGAGAUCUGAGAAUUCAGAGAGAAGGAUUGUAGAGUUAACGGUGAAAUCUCCUGAGGGUUGUUGCAGUAUCUUCCAAGGAAAUCUCCAAUUGUUCCUUCAUUGCCAUUGCCAAAGGGA